This 276-nucleotide ribosomal RNA is filed under the name uncultured prokaryote. Its description in RNAcentral is "partial 16S ribosomal RNA". It matches the Rfam family "Bacterial small subunit ribosomal RNA", at positions 524 to 800 of the family's 1533-position model. The record is from RNAcentral.
UACGUAGGGGGCUAGCGUUAUCCGGAAUUACUGGGCGUAAAGGGUGCGUAGGUGGUUUCUUAAGUCAGAGGUGAAAGGCUACGGCUCAACCGUAGUAAGCCUUUGAAACUGGGAAACUUGAGUGCAGGAGAGGAGAGUGGAAUUCCUAGUGUAGCGGUGAAAUGCGUAGAUAUUAGGAGGAACACCAGUUGCGAAGGCGGCUCUCUGGACUGUAACUGACACUGAGGCACGAAAGCGUGGGGAGCAAACAGGAUUAGAUACCCGUGUAGUCCCUGA